UCACCUAAGCUAAUAUUAAUGAUACUAUUGGUGGUCGAUCGUAUUGUGAAGAAGUAGGUUGGUAUAUUUAGUGAUGUGUUCGUGAAGGUAGCUUCUCUAAUAUUACCAACUGACUUUGUCAUUUUCAAUAGUGAGGAAUAUUUUAUUAUCCCUAUCACCAUUGUAAGGCCCACUAUUUCCAUGUGUAGGACAUUGGUUGGCAUAGAGAUAGGAAAGAUAAAAUUUUAGACUUAAAGAGGAACAUAUCACUUUCAAUAUAUGUCAGGUGAUCCGGCAGCUAAAAUAUAUAUAGGUAGUUUAUUUGAUAGACAUCACAGGUGAAGAUAAACUAUUUGUACCCAUUUAGGAGAGUUUUUGUGUUGAAUCAAUGGUGGUAAUGAUCAUAAAUUUUGAUAGCGACAAUUUUGGUGAGCAUGAUGAGAUGGUGAGGGUACUUGUUGGAAGAGUUUCUAAUUCUUAUCCACCACAAAUGUUGGAUCUUAUUUUGAAUAAUAAAUCAACACCACCAACAUUGCAAUCUAUUUAGGAGCCAUUGGUUUUGGAAUUUAAAGCCCUCUUCUCUCAUUUGCGUUAUGUAAUGAGAGGCAAAUUUGUCCCUUAUUUACAUCUAACAUCUUUCUCACUAAAAUGAUUUAAUUAUGUGAUCUUGUAGGAAAUAUGAUGAAGAUGAAUUGAGAUCAAGCUGGAAGAGAAUGAAAAUGGGCAAGAGGAGAAAAAAUUGAGGAUUAGACAACCCUCAGAUCCCGUGAUCGCAGAUAAAAAGUCAAUUAAAAUUUCUCCGACUGUAAUAUGACCACUACAAUUGUGAGAGUCACAAACGCGAUCAAGAGAUGGCAAUCAGAGAAGAGCAAAAAACUUACAAGGGCAAAAAUGGAAUUUUAGGAAGUAUGAUGAAUAUGAUUCGAUAUCAAGCUGGAUGAUAAGGAAAAUGGGCUAGUAGAGAAAAAGUUGAAGAUCAGACGACCCUUAAGUGCCGUGAUCAAACUCUAAGGUUUGCAAUCUUGUUGUAAAGUUAAGUCAAACAUUGGCGAUUGUAAUAUGACCAUCGCAAUUGGGGUAGUCACAAAUGUGAUCAAGAAUUGGCAAUCACAGUAGAGCAGAAUAGUUACAAGGGCAAAAAUAGAAUUUUACAGAUUUGGAUUUGAAAA
Long non-coding RNA from Capsicum annuum, 1148 nucleotides. RefSeq lists it as uncharacterized. The record is from RefSeq and is a predicted model, not a curated record. The transcript has 2 exons. Lineage: Eukaryota; Viridiplantae; Streptophyta; Magnoliopsida; Solanales; Solanaceae.